GGAGCGGUAUCGAAGUGGUCAUAACGGUCCUGACUCGAAAUCAGGUGACGGAGAAAUCCGUCCGUGGGUUCGAAUCCCACCCGCUCCG
Molecule: transfer RNA, 88 nt
Filed under: Youngiibacter fragilis 232.1
Lineage: Bacteria; Bacillati; Bacillota; Clostridia; Eubacteriales; Clostridiaceae
Description: Clostridium sp. 232.1 tRNA
Rfam family: tRNA
About the family: Transfer RNA (tRNA) molecules are approximately 80 nucleotides in length. Their secondary structure includes four short double-helical elements and three loops (D, anti-codon, and T loops). Further hydrogen bonds mediate the characteristic L-shaped molecular structure. tRNAs have two regions of fundamental functional importance: the anti-codon, which is responsible for specific mRNA codon recognition, and the 3' end, to which the tRNAs corresponding amino acid is attached (by aminoacyl-tRNA synthetases). tRNAs cope with the degeneracy of the genetic code in two manners: having more than one tRNA (with a specific anti-codon) for a particular amino acid; and 'wobble' base-pairing, i.e. permitting non-standard base-pairing at the 3rd anti-codon position.
Source: Rfam by way of RNAcentral